This 427-nucleotide ribosomal RNA is filed under the name uncultured bacterium. RNAcentral's name for it is "partial 16S ribosomal RNA". It matches the Rfam family "Bacterial small subunit ribosomal RNA", at positions 355 to 774 of the family's 1533-position model. The record is from RNAcentral.
UGGGGAAUUUUGGACAACGGGCGAAAGCCUGAUCCAGCCAUGCCGCGUGUGUGAAGAAGGUCUUCGGAUUGUAAAGCACUUUAAGUUGGGAGGAAGGGCAUUAACCUAAUACGUUAGUGUUUUGACGUUACCGACAGAAUAAGCACCGGCUAACUCUGUGCCAGCAGCCGCGGUAAUACAGAGGGUGCAAGCGUUAAUCGGAAUUACUGGGCGUAAAGCGCGCGUAGGUGGUUUGUUAAGUUGGAUGUGAAAUCCCCGGGCUCAACCUGGGAACUGCAUUCAAAACUGACUGACUAGAGUAUGGUAGAGGGUGGUGGAAUUUCCUGUGUAGCGGUGAAAUGCGUAGAUAUAGGAAGGAACACCAGUGGCGAAGGCGACCACCUGGACUAAUACUGACACUGAGGUGCGAAAGCGUGGGGAGCAAACA